Non-coding RNA from Salmo salar (Atlantic salmon), 3151 nucleotides. NCBI's taxonomy places the organism in Eukaryota, Metazoa, Chordata, Actinopteri, Salmoniformes, Salmonidae. The record is from RefSeq and is a predicted model, not a curated record.
AAUAAGAUCCUUUCUCUUUAGUGUAAACGGAAAAGAACAGUAACCAAGAAUAAUUUCCACGUUAGCAUUUUUAUUGGUGUUAUUUAGACCUGUUUUAACACCUUGGAACUCAAAAUAUGAUUAAUACUUUCCCCAGGUAACGUUUGAUUCGCGUUGGAAAUAGGACUUGGUUGAUAGAUGUUAUCUAGGUAACGCUACCUAGCUAUCUGCUAACGUUAGCUAACAAUGGCUAACUGUAUGGUUUUUCACACUCAAUUAGCCUCCAUCAUGGAGGUGCUAGCGAAUUCAGCCGUUGCAGAGAUAUGUAAACUCGUAGACGACGACUAUGCAGUGUUUCGUUUGGAAAUAACUCAAAGCCAGAAAGAAAACAGGGCAUUGCGGAGAAAACUGCAGCUACUGGAACUGAAGGUGGCACGGGAGCGCGCAGAGAAGACAAUGCGAGAGCGCGUCCUCACUAGUCGUCCCAGUAGUGUCAAGAUCCUCGACCGAUACAGAGGAAUGGCAAGAGGUGAAGGACAUCUCACUGGAGGCCUUAAGAGCUUUGUGAAGCCAGCGGAACACAAUGCGUGGAGAGAUGACCAACCCAUAGCUAUAGAUGAGGGGAGUGGAUCCUCAACCCAGCAUGUUAUCGUGAUAGAGUCAGCAGAGGCUGCAGGACCUGGGGUCAAGCAGGAGAAGACUGAAGGAGAGGAGAACUCAAGACACAGCAGAGACAUCCAGACGGGUGCAGAGACUGGAGUGGCGCUCCCUGUAGCCACGGAGGACCUCGCCACCUUCGUCGCACCGCAGGUCAGGACUCGACGCAGCAUCACGGAGGAGGAGGAGGGUCCUGAGGUGCUGCUGAUGAAUGAGGUAUGAGGAGGGUCUGGGGAACCCUGAGAGGACCAUGGUCAUGGAGGACAACCAUACAACAACUCCUGAACCCACAGAGGAACCAGCUGAGCAGCACAGGACCACACACAGUCUCACUUAGUCUGCAGUCCAUGAGGACCUGCUGAUAUACGGUGUUGCUGGCGGGAGAGACCGGACCUCUGAAUCGGCUGGUCACAAACCCUGGCCCCAGAUCAGGAGGGGCAGACUCCACAACAACCACCACACAGAACACAACCUGUGGACAGGUGGACUGAACAACCUCAGUCCUGGUGGUCAUCAGAGAGACACAUCUGGGAUGCAAUGGCGUGUGUCCAAGGCGCAUAUUGAAGAUGCUAGAACUGUUUACAUUUACUUUUCGUCAGCCAACAAGAUGAGUAGGCCCAACGAACAGCCUAUGUCAAUCUACUAUCCCCCAUAGUACUAAAUUUGACUUAUUCUAUUGGUCAGCUUGUCCUUCUGUGCGAGAAAGAUAUAUUCCGAACAUGUUGUGGGAUGUGAUAGAUCUCAAAUUAAUACAACCCCUGUACAUCAAAAACCCUUUUAAAAGCAAUGAGACUUAUGCAACAGAUCAGAAGGUUUAGUAUAAAAUCUUGCUAAACUAUUAGGCUAUUUCUUCACAUUAUGAACGCAGCAAUGCGUAGGCUAUAACCGUGAAUGUUCCAAAAUGCAAUUAGUAGGAAAACACCAUUCUCAAAAGUACACUGCAAAUGCAAGUGGUUUCAUAUGACAGGGAUGAAAAUAUCCUUAAAAAAUUAUUUAGAAAGAGGGAAGAUCUAAAGAUGCAACAACAAGCAUGGGUUGUUAAUAUGACUAGGAUUGUGUCUUUGGCUGCUGGACAAGGAAAGAAAGUUGAGAACAUGAGAAAAAUAGGCCCUACUGGUUUCAAUGGGAUAUGAGGAAGUGUUUAUAAAAUAAUCCCCCUUGACAUUCCUAUGGUUGGAAAAUGGUAAGACAUGCCUCAUAAAAUGAUAAAAAACGUCCAGGUUUUAAACAGUUACAUUUACGGUUACAUAGUUUCAAAUUAAUAUACAGAUUGCCAUGUGGGUGAUGUUGCAGUGCACAACAGGCACUGGCCUUUCUUUCCUGUCGGAACAAACAAUGCCUCAAGUAUUUUCGACAGAAUCAGGCCUUUGGAUAUUAAUAAUGAUCCUACAUUAUAUUUGUCAAACAUGACUGGUGUUUAGCCUAUAUAUAUAUAAAAUGUGUAAUUAAAAGUCUCAUUAAAGUUUGGCUACAUUUUCAGGGGUUCCCUCAUGUCAGCAUCGGUCUGGAUAUGACAGGCUGUAGCCAAUACGCAUAGGCUAUCACGUACACUUUGACCUGCAGGCAAAUUAUUUACGUACAUUUACAUACACUUAUGUUUUUCUUAACAGAAUAGCGAGUGUUUUUUGGUUUUCAAAUCAAUUUAAUUGGCUAUUUUGGUUAACGGCCUUGGUGCCCUAGCAGAUGUCCUUGGUGCCCUGGCAGAUGGCUUUGGUGCCCUGGAAGAUUGGGCACCUCUUGAAGGCCAAAUGGCCUUGCAACUAAAAUCACGGAAUUCCAGCUGUGGGGAGUCUAUCAGGAAAUCUGUCUACUAAUGCCUGGUGAACGGCUUCAUAGAAGGCCUGGAUCUAGCAUUACUCACCUACCUCAUUGUUACCCCAUGAAUACAGACAGCUUCUGGAUAGGCGUUCACCAGAAGAGGUACCUAGCCUAUAACACAGUACCCAAUCACAACAACACCAAAACAAUAGCUAGAGGUCAAGGAGGCAGCUCAAAGACUAACCACCUAAGGGUGGUGGCUCCUGCUUCUACCUCUGGUGUCAUUGGGUGACAACAUGGGAGGCCAAGUAUUAGGACCGACGCCAAUUAGCUGUACGCCUGCCCCACGUGUGGGAAACUCUUCGCUGUGGCGAACUACGUAAAAAGGCACCAGACUGUUCACACCAAGGAGAGAUCCUUGAAGUGCAAACUAUGUUACAAGAGCUUCUCCUUCCUGACUAGCCUUAUCAGAUAUAGGAGUGUCCACAAUGGGGAGAAAUCGUAGCAGUGUGGCUUGAGAUGUACGCAGGGGAUAUGUGGGAACCAUUCCUUAGCUGGCAUAUUAUAGUUGUGAAGUGUCUUGGGGUAAGAUGGUAAUUAACCACAUACCCCUCAUUAACCCUUUGUUAAUAAUUUGAAACAGGCUUGUAAAUACCUGUUUUUAGAGAGAGAGUAAUCCUUGGCUAGAACAUGGACAGUUGAAUAUUUACCUUACUGAGGUAAUGUAGAUGGAAUAAAGUAUUUCUAUUGUAUUGCA